Oryzias latipes (Japanese medaka) is the source of this 3617-nucleotide non-coding RNA. Lineage: Eukaryota; Metazoa; Chordata; Actinopteri; Beloniformes; Adrianichthyidae. The record is from RefSeq and is a predicted model, not a curated record.
CCAUAGAGUGGAUGUGUCAGACUCUGCUCCUCCAGCAUUAAAAGGGUUUCAUCCUCUGUGUUUGGACACUGCAGGGUCCAAAGUCCAAAGGGACUAAAGAGAAAGUGUUUUUUGAACAUCGUGAAAAACCCACUAUGAUAAAAAAUCAUGUUUUUUUUUGUUUUUAACAUGUUCUUUUGGCAUUUUUCUGAUGAAGCAGGCCAAAUACGAAGACAUUCAAGCUUAUUAUUGAAUUUCUGAGUAUUUUGUUAUUCACAUCGUUGUAAAUCAGGGGAAAACUUUAAAAAAGUGCAGUUGAAAAAGAUUGUAACUGUGACGUAGAACCUAAGCUGGACUUCCUGCUCCGCUCCAUUCUGAUGCAUCCACCUGCAGACGACUAGAAUACAGACUACAUCUUCUUCUUCCACAUCUGGGCAGUUCUCUGACUCUUAACUGAGAAACUGCAUGCGGGACUCAACUUUUUAUUGUUGUUAGUUUUGGCCUCCUUUCUACUGAGUUGUUUUGUUUUGAUGUUUGUCGUUAUUACUGAGGAAAACCUUCAGCAUUUUGCUGAUACACCCUUAAGUCACAAAUUCAGCACAAAACGCCACAGAAACAGACAAGGUCAGUGGAAAUAAUGAAGAAAGGCUUUUCUGGAUCCUUAUUAACAGUUGAAUUCUCUUCAAAGUAAAAGUCUUGAACUCUUUUUCUUUAGAUGAUUCUAUUCUAAUCUUUCUGAAACCAGUCCUGCUUUUUUGGUCCAUAUUUUCCUGUUGUUUUUUGUAAUAAAUAAUCUUGCUUUAACUGUGUUCCAUAACAGACAGCUUGUUUGUGUUAAGCUCUGUGUGCCAUUGCUAUUCUUUGAAUUCUCAUGGAAAACUGUAAUAAAUAUAUUACAUAACUUUAAGUCAUUUCUGCCCUACUCUUUGCUUCUCUUGGGUUUUCAGCUUUAGGGUUGUCUUUUCAGGAGAAUCUAAAGACAUUCUGUUCUAAAAUGCCACCUAUAGAUAGAGCAGGUGAAGGUAUGAAAACACCUGGAGAAACAGAAACAGUUUGAGUGAUAUUUUUAAAGAAGCCAAACAAUAGAUCUGACAGGUGGCAUGGGAGCAACACCCAUACAACACAACGAAGGCAUCAAGUCCAGCCAGUUUCAGAUUCCAUUCCUUACAGCUCUCUUUAGAAAGAAGAAAUGUUCAAAUUGAUAUUAUAAAGGAGUACAAAGGUGUGUGGAAACUUUUUAACCCAUAACAUUUUGUGAAAGAAGAUUCACCACCAACAAUACAGAUGCAUUUUUAAUUAGAGUAUGAGAAAGUUUUCUUGAUCAUAAUUCUUUCAUCCAUCCAUCCAUCUUCCUCUGCUUAUCCGGGACCGGGUCGCAGGGGCAGCAGUGUAAGCAAAGAUACCCAGACUUUCCUCGCCCCAUCCACUUCCUGUAGGUCGUGAACAAGACCCCAAGAUACAUUUUUCAUAAUUCAAUGUGUACAGUAUACUGUUUCUUGGUACUGCCCUACCUCCCCUAAUGUAAUGAAGUAGGGGGGAAUAUUUAUUAAUCUUCACUACAUACAUUAUACAUGUUACAAGAAUGAGCAGUCCAGAUCAGUGUCAAAGUAGGACACUUUUAAGAUACCUUUUAUACAGUUGGAACGAUUAAAACUACAUGAUAAUGUAAAAUCUAAAAUUAUACUAACAUCAUACAGCAGAACGAAGGCAUCAAGUCCAGCCAGUUUCAGACUCCAAUCAUUCCAGCUCUUUAGAAUUAUAUAUACCAGCGUAUGUAAAGAUAAUUAUGUAGACAUUAAAAAAGAGUCCAGUGGGUAGUUGAAAGAUUCCCCAGAGAGUUUGGUCCAUAGUGACACGAUAGCAUCACGCAGUUACACUUGAGAUUACAGAUACAUAUUUAAUUAAAGUAGGUAUGUAUAUAAUGUUACUCUUAUUUAUAAUCAAAAAACUCAAACUGAACUUUAAAGUUUUUAUUACUUAAUUUCUAUCUCUAUCACUAAUGUUAUCACUAUUUAAUUUGAGGAAUGGAAGAGAUGGAAGAUAUGAUCUAAGGGGAGGAGGUGAAAAAUAAAAUCAGUGGCCUCAGAUCAAAUGCUCGGGCACACUUGAAGGGAACUGUGGGGGAAGUGAAUGUUUUCAGCGGAAUAAACUGAGUCUGGCCUCAGAGAUAAGAGUGGAACCAGUUGAGAGGUAAGUUUGUGAUAACGAUGGUGCAUGGCAAGUCUUGGUUGUCCUGUUUUCUACUUUUUUCGGGUUCUCACCUUCAAGUUGUCUUUUUUAACCAUUGUGCUAUCUUAGAUGACCCCACCCUUACAUUGACGUGUUAUUCCUACCAUGACAAAGGUGGAUAAAGGUGGAAAGAUUUCAUGUAAUCCAUGGACACCAGUGAAGAUCACAAAUCAUUGAAGAAAAAUGGUUCAGUUAUGUAUCAUUAAUAUAGUUAUUCUAUAACUAAAACUGAAAAACUGCACGCCAGGUUCAACUUUUUAUUGUUAGUUUUAACCUCCUGUUUAUUGAGUUGUUCUUUUUUGAUGUUGGUUGAGGAAAACCUGCCUUUUGCAGAUGGACAGUGAAGUCACAAAGGCAGCACAAAACAUUCCACGUCGCCACAACAACCGACACAGUCGGUUGAAAUACGAUAACAUUACUUUGGCCUAUGGCUGGACUACUGGUGAACUUACCCCACCUUGUGGCGAGACUGAUGAACUACAUCCUCAUUGUUCUGUCAACGCCUGCUGGUCACUGAACAAAAGCAAAAUCAAUAAAUAAGCCACAUGAAAUGACAUGGAGAGCCACAUUUGGACCCCGGGCCUUGAGUUUGACACAUGUGCACUAGACAGUGCGCUGAGCCUAAGCCUGUGGACAUUGUUUUCUGCUGCCACGUCUUGGAUAUUUGUCAAUUCCACUUUUUUGUCUAACUACGGUACUUGUGGUCUGUCACCGGGAUCGGUUCAUGUCUGGGUCAGAUCAACAUUCAGACGUGUGUGUGAGCUAGCCUGCCUGCUGGCUUCUCGCCAAGUCUACAACAAUGUGGAGUAACUCUGCGUGGAUUCUACUUGCCUGGACCAUCCUCUCUCUGGUCAAGCAUCCACUGACAGCUAUCGCUGCCCUCGACUUCUUGAACUCCAUCCGACUCCACUUGAUCAACCGGCCCCCACAACCAAAUAAGGAUUUUAUCCCUGAUUUUUCAACUCACCUCUCCACACUUUCACCCAACCUAUUAUUUUUAGGCAAUUUGAAAAUUCACAUGGACAAUGUCAGCAACACCCUCACUAAAGAUUUUCCAUCCUUUCUGGACAGCUUUGAUCGCCAUCAACGUAUCAACUACACAAAAUGGGCUAUAUUGUGUUGUGUUUUAAUGAGAAAAUAAUAGAUAUUUUUUCCCCAAAUUGAAUCCACACAACCUCAAAACAGUUUGACAAUAAUAAACAUCAGAAACGUUUUGCUGUAGACUCUUUUUAUUUUGAUUUAAUUUUUUGAUUUCGAAACAUUUGAGUGAAAAUGUCAAAAGUGAGUUGAUUGUUAUUUACACUCAAAAAGAGAAAAUGUCAGCAAUGACAGAGCUUGGUGUCAGAACAAAUGUUGAUAACAGGUGUUGACACACAACAUCCAUUCUUUAACAUUGCGGUCAAAAAAAA